UACGGGGGGGGCAAGCGUUGUUCGGAAUUACUGGGCGUAAAGGGCUUGUAGGUGGCCAACUAAGUCAGACGUGAAAUCCCUCGGCUUAACCGGGGAACUGCGUCUGAUACUGGAUGGCUGGAGUGUGGGAGAGGGAUGCGGAAUUCCAGGUGUAGCGGUGAAAUGCGUAGAUAUCUGGAGGAACACCGGUGGCGAAGGCGGCAUCCUGGACCAACACUGACACUGAGGAGCGAAAGCCAGGGGAGCAAACGGG
This 253-nucleotide ribosomal RNA is filed under the name uncultured bacterium. Its description in RNAcentral is "partial 16S ribosomal RNA". It matches the Rfam family "Bacterial small subunit ribosomal RNA", at positions 524 to 776 of the family's 1533-position model. The record is from RNAcentral.